AGGAAGGUGGGGAUGACGUCAAGUCAUCAUGGCCCUUACGGCCAGGGCUACACACGUGCUACAAUGGUCGGUACAAAGGGUUGCCAAGCCGCGAGGUGGAGCUAAUCCCAUAAAACCGAUCGUAGUCCGGAUCGCAGUCUGCAACUCGACUGCGUGAAGUCGGAAUCGCUAGUAAUCGUGAAUCAGAAUGUCACGGUGAAUACGUUCCCGGGCCUUGUACACACCGCCCGUCACACCAUGGGAGUGGGUUGCUCCAGAAGUAGCUAGUCUAACCGCAAGGGGGACGGUUACCACGGAGUGAUUCAUGACUGGGGUGAAGC
RNAcentral lists this ribosomal RNA (320 nucleotides) under uncultured bacterium. RNAcentral describes it as "bacterial SSU rRNA". It matches the Rfam family "Bacterial small subunit ribosomal RNA", at positions 1167 to 1486 of the family's 1533-position model. The record is from RNAcentral.